UAAUCUUUAUUGUUGAAUUGUGUCCUUUAUCUGGAGCUUUCAUCAUGCGCCUAUAAUGAUUCUGAAGUCUAUUCCAGAUUUUAGUUUCUGCUAUUUGCCUGAAUAUUUGAUGCUUGAAUUAUGUACAGUCAUUGAUUGAAAAUCUGGAAGCAAGAUUAUUGAUGUAUACCAAGCAUUUCAGUAUACCAAGCAUUUCAUAGUUAACUCCUUCACAUACUGGUGGUUAAUCAUCAAAGUGUGGAGAAGACGACAGGACGUAAUGAUGGAUUGAUCAAUUUGCGUAGUUUCACAAGUCAGGCUGGUUUACGUCAGUUUUGGCUUUUUUCCUCAAUCUCUCAUUGCUUUAAACUACUUCUUGAUAGGCUGAAUUUUUGUGGAAGGAAAAUUUUACAUAAUUCACAUUCAAAUGAUCCUUAUGUGCUGGAGUCAAAACUGCUUGUUGACUGCUUUUCUCCUGGCUUUAAGUGAAAGAAUAAAACAUAUGAUUUGUUUCUCUUUUUGAUAAAUGAGAAAUCCCCAAGAGCUAGUGGCACACGGUUCGAAACCCGCAAUGUGCGCCUAACCACACAUCAUGCGUUGCACUCUAACCACUACAAUAGAGCCUUGUGAUUGGCAUUUCUGGUCUCCAACUGUAAGGGGUCUUAAAUCUGUAAAGUAAUGUCAUGGUAGGGCAUCUUAUGAUACAUGGAAUAUGGAAGCUUGAUAUAUGUAGAAUCUCCCUCCUGUGCCCGGAGUAAUGUAAAUUAAUGAAAAGAUGAAGGUCAUACUGUUAGCACUUUGUCUGGAUAGAUUUAGAUUUAGCACCAUUUCCUUUCUGUAAUUUCUGAAGGAAUAAAAAAGAAAUAGGAAAACCUUGGUGAUCUGAAGAAUUUGCUUGUCCAAUAUUCUUAGCGUAGAUAUAUUUUCCUGUGCUCUCUGCUUUAUGUUACCGGCAUGACUAAUGUCCUGCCUUAUGUUUUAAAGGAUGAGGAGCAUUAUGAAUCACCUUAAAGGGAACCGUGAUUUUCCUCGUUUACG
Molecule: long non-coding RNA, 1017 nt
Filed under: Nicotiana benthamiana
Lineage: Eukaryota; Viridiplantae; Streptophyta; Magnoliopsida; Solanales; Solanaceae
Description: long non-coding RNA (NBEN_LNC038450)
Source: RNAcentral